CCGAAGACCCCUAAAAUUCUGGUAUCUAUGGCGUCCGAGCGAAUCUUUAAUAGUUAAAACUUUCAACAACGGAUCUCUUGGUUCUGGCAUCGAUGAAGAACGCAGCGAAAUGCGAUAAGUAAUGUGAAUUGCAGAAUUCAGUGAAUCAUCGAAUCUUUGAACGCAUAUUGCGCCCUCUGGUAUUCCGGAGGGCAUGCCUGUUCGAGCGUCAUUAAAACUCUCAAGCUCUGCUUGGUAUUGGGAUCCGCCCGCCGUGGCGCGCCCGAAAAGCAGCGGUGGUUCAGCGAGACUUCAAGCGUAGUAAGAUUUUCAAUCCCGCUUCCGAAGCUUCCGUAGGGCUUGCCAAUAAAACUCAAGUAUAACUACUUCUACGAUUGGCCUCGGAUCAGGUAGGGAUACCCGCUGAACUUAAGCAUAUCAAUAAGCGGAGGAAAAGAAACCAACAGGGAUUGCCUCAGUAACGGCGAGUGAAGCGGCAACAGCUCAAAUUUGAAAUCUGGCCUCUUCGGGGUCCGAGUUGUAAUUUGUAGAGGGUGUUUCGGGGGAGGCGCCGGCCUAAGUCCCUUGGAACAGGGCGUCAUAGAGGGUGAGAAUCCCGUAUGCGGCCGGUGACCAACCCCGUGUGAAAA
This 629-nucleotide ribosomal RNA is filed under the name Acolium karelicum. RNAcentral's name for it is "eukaryotic LSU rRNA". The stretch from base 376 to 629 matches the Rfam family "Eukaryotic large subunit ribosomal RNA", at positions 1 to 252 of the family's 3401-position model. Lineage: Eukaryota; Fungi; Ascomycota; Lecanoromycetes; Caliciales; Caliciaceae. The record is from RNAcentral.